AGAGUUUGAUCAUGGCUCAGGACGAACGCUGGCGGCGUGCCUAACACAUGCAAGUCAGGGAGAAUUCCCGACUUGUCGGGAUAGUAAACUGGCGAACGGGUGAGUAACACGUAGGUAAUCUACCCUCGGGAUGGGGAUAACCUACCGAAAGGUGGGCUAAUACCGAAUAAUGUUCCGCUUUAAUCGAGCGGAAUGAAAGGUGGGGACCUUCGGGCCUACUGCCUGAGGAUGAGCCUGCGUCCCAUUAGCUAGUUGGUAAGGUAAUGGCUUGCCAAGGCGACGAUAGGUAGCUGGUCUGAGAGGAUGAUCAGCCACAUUGGGACUGAGAUACGGCCCAAACUCCUACGGGAGGCAGCAGUGAGGAAUUUUGCGCAAUGGCCGCAAGGCUGACGCGGCAACGCCGCGUGACCGAUUAAGCUCUGAGGAGUGUAAAGGUCUGUCGCAGAGGAAGAAACUGCCUGAUGAGAAUAUUGUCAGGUACUGACGGUACUCUGUGAGAAAGCUCCGGCUAACUCCGUGCCAGCAGCCGCGGUAAUACGGGGGGAGCAAGCGUUGUCCGGAAUCACUGGGCGUAAAGAGCGUGUAGGUGUCCUAAUAAGUCUCUGGUGAAAGCCUUCUGCUUAACGGGAGAAUUGCCGGAGAUACUAUUGGGAUUGAGUUCAGAAGAGGGAAGCGGAAUUCCUGGUGUAGCGGUGAAAUGCGUAGAUAUCAGGAAGAACACCGGUGGCGAAGGCGGCUUCCUGGUCUGAUACUGACACUGUGGCGCGAAAGCGUGGGGAGCAAACAGGAUUAGAUACCCUGUAGUCCACGCCCUAACCGAUGGAUACUUGGCGUUGGGAGCUCGAUCCUCCCAGUGCCGUAGCUAACGCGUUAAGUAUCCCGCCUGGGGACUACCGGCGCAGGUUGAAACUCAAUGAAUUGACGG
This 925-nucleotide ribosomal RNA is filed under the name bacterium enrichment culture clone B6_65. RNAcentral describes it as "bacterial SSU rRNA". It matches the Rfam family "Bacterial small subunit ribosomal RNA", at positions 8 to 916 of the family's 1533-position model. The record is from RNAcentral.